GGGGAAUUUUCCGCAAUGGGCGAAAGCCUGACGGAGCAAUACCGCGUGAGGGAGGAAGGCUCUUGGGUCGUAAACCUCUUUUCUCAGGGAAGAAGACAAUGACGGUACCUGAGGAAUAAGCAUCGGCUAACUCCGUGCCAGCAGCCGCGGUAAUACGGAGGAUGCAAGCGUUAUCCGGAAUGAUUGGGCGUAAAGCGUCCGCAGGUGGCGAUGUAAGUCUGCUGUUAAAGAGUGAGGCUCAACCUCAUAAGAGCAGUGGAAACUACAUAGCUAGAGUACGUUCGGGGCAGAGGGAAUUCCUGGUGUAGCGGUGAAAUGCGUAGAGAUCAGGAAGAACACCAGUGGCGAAGGCGCUCUGCUAGGCCGUAACUGACACUGAGGGACGAAAGCUAGGGGAGCGAAUGGGAUUAGAUACCCCAGUAGUCCUAGCCGUAAACGAUGGAUACUAGGCGUGGCUUGUAUCGACCCGAGCCGUGCCGUAGCUAACGCGUUAAGUAUCCCGCCUGGGGAGUACGCCGGCAACGGUGAAACUCAAAGGAAUUGACGGGGGCCCGCACAAGCGGUGGAGUAUGUGGUUUAAUUCGAUGCAACGCGAAGAACCUUACCAAGGCUUGACAUGUCGCGAAUCUUCUCGAAAGGGAAGAGUGCCUUCGGGAGCGCGAACACAGGUGGUGCAUGGCUGUCGUCAGCUCGUGUCGUGAGAUGUUGGGUUAAGUCCCGCAACGAGCGCAACCCUCGUUUUUAGUUGCCAGCAUUAAGUUGGGCACUCUAGAGAGACUGCCGGUGACAAACCGGAGGAAGGUGGGGAUGACGUCAAGUCAGCAUGCCCCUUACGCCUUGGGCUACACACGUACUACAAUGCUCCGGACAGAGGGCAGCAAGCAUGCGAAUGCAAGCAAAUCCCGUAAACCGGAGCUCAGUUCAGAUCGCAGGCUGCAACUCGCCUGCGUGAAGGAGGAAUCGCUAGUAAUUGCAGGUCAGCAUACUGCAGUGAAUUCGUUCCCGGGCCUUGUACACACCGCCCGUCACACCAUGGAAGCUGGUAGUGCCCGAAGUCAUUACUCCAACCUUUCGGGGGGGAGGAUGCCUAAGGCAGGACUGGUGACUGGGGUGAAGUCGUAACAAGGUAGCCGUACCGGAAGGUGUGGCUGGAUCACCUCCUU
This 1163-nucleotide ribosomal RNA is filed under the name Nostoc sp. ATA2-1-KO28. Its description in RNAcentral is "bacterial SSU rRNA". It matches the Rfam family "Bacterial small subunit ribosomal RNA", at positions 356 to 1532 of the family's 1533-position model. The record is from RNAcentral. Lineage: Bacteria; Bacillati; Cyanobacteriota; Cyanophyceae; Nostocales; Nostocaceae.